AUUUUAGUAUAACUCUGUCUCAUGCAAUAUUUGGGACAGACUUAUACUGAAA
Molecule: microRNA precursor, 52 nt
Filed under: Loxodonta africana (African savanna elephant)
Lineage: Eukaryota; Metazoa; Chordata; Mammalia; Proboscidea; Elephantidae
Description: mir-1302 microRNA precursor family
Rfam family: mir-1302 microRNA precursor family
Source: Rfam by way of RNAcentral